GAUGAACGCUGGCGGCGUGCCUAAUACAUGCAAGUCGAGCGAACAGAUAAGGAGCUUGCUCCUUUGACGUUAGCGGCGGACGGGUGAGUAACACGUGGGUAACCUACCUAUAAGACUGGGAUAACUUCGGGAAACCGGAGCUAAUACCGGAUAACAUUUGGAACCGCAUGGUUCUAAAGUGAAAGAUGGUUUUGCUAUAACUUAUAGAUGGACCCGCGCCGUAUUAGCUAGUUGGUAAGGUAACGGCUUACCAAGGCGACGAUACGUAGCCGACCUGAGAGGGUGAUCGGCCACACUGGAACUGAGACACGGUCCAGACUCCUACGGGAGGCAGCAGUAGGGAAUCUUCCGCAAUGGGCGAAAGCCUGACGGAGCAACGCCGCGUGAGUGAUGAAGGGUUUCGGCUCGUAAAACUCUGUUAUUAGGGAAGAACAAAUGUGUAAGUAACUGUGCACGUCUUGACGGUACCUAAUCAGAAAGCCACGGCUAACUACGUG
RNAcentral lists this ribosomal RNA (497 nucleotides) under uncultured bacterium. RNAcentral describes it as "partial 16S ribosomal RNA". It matches the Rfam family "Bacterial small subunit ribosomal RNA", at positions 28 to 507 of the family's 1533-position model. The record is from RNAcentral.